AACGCACGAGACCUGCGGACCUGCGGAGGGAUCAUUACAGGAUUCGCAAGUCUCCCGUAAACCCCUGUGAACAUACCUAUACUCGUUGCCUCGGCGGGUGCUCCGGUGCGAACCGGGGCGCCAGCCCGCCGGCGGCUCGCUACUCUGUAUUGAAUACUGCAUCUCCGAGCAAUUGCAAACGAAUCAAAACUUUCAACAACGGAUCUCU
Molecule: unclassified non-coding RNA, 208 nt
Filed under: soil metagenome
Description: partial contains 5.8S ribosomal RNA, internal transcribed spacer 2, and large subunit ribosomal RNA
Source: RNAcentral